Molecule: non-coding RNA, 1057 nt
Organism: Parasteatoda tepidariorum (common house spider)
Lineage: Eukaryota; Metazoa; Arthropoda; Arachnida; Araneae; Theridiidae
Source: RefSeq, a predicted model, not a curated record
CGAUGGCAAUAGCUUUCAUGAUCUGCCGAAUCAUGUUCUGCUCUAUAUUUCAUGAUCAGAUUUAAAUUUUUGAUUUAAACUUUUUGAAGAAAUACAUAUUUCUAUGUUCCUAGUGUUUUUAUGAUUUCUAUAAUUUGAGCAGCAAUUUGUUAUCUUCACCUAAUUAUAAAUUAUGUGAACUACUUAUCCUACAUGGGAAAUGUCGUGACUUCGGUCAAUGCUUUAUCCAUUAUCGACAAAUAAAAUUGACUCUACUAAAUGAAUACAAACUGAUAAUUUUACUGUGUAAACCUAACUCAAAGUUAUGAGAAAUAUAGCGUUAGACAAGAAUAAAACUUUUCAUCAGCAUAAACAUGACUGAAUUCUAUGUCAUCAAAAGAGGGUUGUUUUCGAAUUACAACAACCAUGAACCUUAUAUUGUGGAAUUUUCUUCAACUAUCUAUCAUGUGGGCUAAAAAUUCCCGAAAAGUAACCUUGUUUAUGAACUUAUAACAAAGGUUAUAUUUACCAAAAUGAAAACUUGUUUAAAUAUUAAAAGAGUAAGCAAAAAAUUAUCUUGUGUAAGAAUAAGGUUUUUCACCAGUAUGAACGAGAUUGUGAAUCUUUUGGCAUCACCAGAAUCCAGUUGUUUAGUCAGGAUAUUUUAUUAAAUUAUAGCAAACUUUAAUGUCAUAGUAGAACUUUCUUUCAAUUACAAAUUGAAUGAAACUAACAUAAGUUAAUACUUUAUGUGAAUCAACUGCAAAUAAUGGUUUUGCGGACGUCAUAUUUAUCUGACUGAAGAAGUAUUAAACUGGUAUCUGAAUAGUCGGAACAGACUGCAUUAUUUUGAAGCAAUGGAUUAGGUGAAAGGGAAAGUGAUUAUUUAUUUAAUUGAAAAUUGCUACUAUUCAUGUCUAUACAUUUUGUGAUAGGUAAGCACUGCAGUUUGUGAAGCAGCUUCAGGAAGGAAGAUCCACAAAAUCAAAAUAUGGUGGAUUUUCAUUACAACAGAGUGAACAGAGUCUUUUGUAUUAUGUAAUAAUAUGUAAUAAACCUUUUCAAACCUUUCAAGUUC